CCUCAGACAACAGAUGGGUGAUCCAAAUUGGGUCUAAUAAAGCAAGGAUAAGUAUUUUUUCUGAGGCUAGAAGUUUGGUCAGACUUAACAGAAUGUUUAUUGUGCUCUUGCAAUUUUUGCUUUUAGGCUGAAAGCAGAGAAAUCUGCUGAAAUAUGGCGUAGUUUCCAGCUGAAACCAGAACAGUAUUGUGAUUCACAUGAGAGAAGCAAAUCCUUUGUGAUUUCUAGGCAGAGCAGGUUCAGAAAAGCAUCUGAACUCCUUCAGGAUUUUCUGAUCAUCCAAGCCUGAGGCUUUGCUUUUCUAAUUCCUCCAUCCUCUGUGUGAGUUUUAUUGUGAGAGUCGCCGAGCGCUCCCUUUGUCCAGCUCUGCUCUCAGGUGACAGAAAGGAGUGAGUGUCAACCAUCACCAGAGCUGGACCAGCACAGAAACGUGGAUCUGCUGUGGUGGCUUUCAGCAUCCUCAAAGGCAUCUAAUUGUUCAGGACACAGUGAGUAUCUGCACUUACAGAAAUCAAGGCUGGAGUGGAGCUCCCCUGAAAGCCAGGCUCUGAGAAGCCAAGAUUCAUUUUCAGAAAAUGUCACCUGGAGCAAGCUGAAUGUCUCCUGAGCGACUUAAAUCCAUCACCAGCUCUGGAAACAGACUCUGAGCAAGUACCAGUCAACACUUUAAUUGAAAAUAAACGCUGUAAAUCCAGGGAAACCUCUCUGUUC
Molecule: long non-coding RNA, 711 nt
Filed under: Zonotrichia albicollis (white-throated sparrow)
Lineage: Eukaryota; Metazoa; Chordata; Aves; Passeriformes; Passerellidae
Description: lncRNA (ENSZALG00000003346.1)
Source: RNAcentral